UCGGGAAUAUUGCGCAAUGGAGGAAACUCUGACGCAGUGACGCCGCGUGCAGGAAGAAGGUUUUCGGAUUGUAAACUGCUUUAGACAGGGAAGAAAAAGGACAGUACCUGUAGAAUAAGCUCCGGCUAACUACGUGCCAGCAGCCGCGGUAAUACGUAGGGAGCAAGCGUUAUCCGGAUUUAUUGGGUGUAAAGGGUGCGUAGACGGGAGAUCAAGUUGGUUGUGAAAUCCCUCGGCUUAACUGAGGAACUGCAACCAAAACUGAUUUUCUUGAGUGCUGGAGAGGAAAGUGGAAUUCCUAGUGUAGCGGUGAAAUGCGUAGAUAUUAGGAGGAACACCAGUGGCGAAGGCGACUUUCUGGACAAUAACUGACGUUGAGGCACGAAAGUGUGGGGAGCAA
RNAcentral lists this ribosomal RNA (400 nucleotides) under uncultured bacterium. RNAcentral describes it as "bacterial SSU rRNA". It matches the Rfam family "Bacterial small subunit ribosomal RNA", at positions 355 to 771 of the family's 1533-position model. The record is from RNAcentral.